GUUAGCGGCGGACGGGUGAGUAACACGUGGGCAACCUGCCUGUAAGACUGGGAUAACUUCGGGAAACCGAAGCUAAUACCGGAUAGGAUCUUCUCCUUCAUGGGAGAUGAUUGAAAGAUGGUUUCGGCUAUCACUUACAGAUGGGCCCGCGGUGCAUUAGCUAGUUGGUGAGGUAACGGCUCACCAAGGCAACGAUGCAUAGCCGACCUGAGAGGGUGAUCGGCCACACUGGGACUGAGACACGGCCCAGACUCCUACGGGAGGCAGCAGUAGGGAAUCUUCCGCAAUGGACGAAAGUCUGACGGAGCAACGCCGCGUGAGUGAUGAAGGCUUUCGGGUCGUAAAACUCUGUUGUUAGGGAAGAACAAGUACAAGAGUAACUGCUUGUACCUUGACGGUACCUAACCAGAAAGCCACGGCUAACUACGUGCCAGCAGCCGCGGUAAUACGUAGGUGGCAAGCGUUAUCCGGAAUUAUUGGGCGUAAAGCGCGCGCAGGCGGUUUCUUAAGUCUGAUGUGAAAGCCCACGGCUCAACCGUGGAGGGUCAUUGGAAACUGGGGAACUUGAGUGCAGAAGAGAAAAGCGGAAUUCCACGUGUAGCGGUGAAAUGCGUAGAGAUGUGGAGGAACACCAGUGGCGAAGGCGGCUUUUUGGUCUGUAACUGACGCUGANGCGCGAAAGCGUGNGGAGCAAACAG
RNAcentral lists this ribosomal RNA (698 nucleotides) under Priestia megaterium. RNAcentral describes it as "bacterial SSU rRNA". It matches the Rfam family "Bacterial small subunit ribosomal RNA", at positions 91 to 775 of the family's 1533-position model. The record is from RNAcentral. Lineage: Bacteria; Bacillati; Bacillota; Bacilli; Caryophanales; Bacillaceae.